RNAcentral lists this ribosomal RNA (497 nucleotides) under uncultured bacterium. Its description in RNAcentral is "partial 16S ribosomal RNA". It matches the Rfam family "Bacterial small subunit ribosomal RNA", at positions 28 to 507 of the family's 1533-position model. The record is from RNAcentral.
GAUGAACGCUGGCGGCGUGCCUAAUACAUGCAAGUCGAGCGAACAGACGAGGAGCUUGCUCCUCUGACGUUAGCGGCGGACGGGUGAGUAACACGUGGAUAACCUACCUAUAAGACUGGGAUAACUUCGGGAAACCGGAGCUAAUACCGGAUAAUAUAUUGAACCGCAUGGUUCAAUAGUGAAAGACGGUUUUGCUGUCACUUAUAGAUGGAUCCGCGCCGCAUUAGCUAGUUGGUAAGGUAACGGCUUACCAAGGCAACGAUGCAUAGCCGACCUGAGAGGGUGAUCGGCCACACUGGAACUGAGACACGGUCCAGACUCCUACGGGAGGCAGCAGUAGGGAAUCUUCCGCAAUGGGCGAAAGCCUGACGGAGCAACGCCGCGUGAGUGAUGAAGGUCUUCGGAUCGUAAAACUCUGUUAUUAGGGAAGAACAUAUGUGUAAGUAACUAUGCACAUCUUGACGGUACCUAAUCAGAAAGCCACGGCUAACUACGUG